Molecule: long non-coding RNA, 1976 nt
Filed under: Homo sapiens (human)
Lineage: Eukaryota; Metazoa; Chordata; Mammalia; Primates; Hominidae
Description: HSALNT0134420
Source: RNAcentral
UUGCUGACAGAUCGAGGCGGGCUGAGUGCGCGAGCGGCCGGGGAGUAUUCCCGCGGGUCCUCCGGUUCCCUCCCCACCUCUCCGUUCCCGAAGCCCCCGGUAGUGGGCGGGGAGGGACGGGGGAGUCGUGGAAACUUCGCCCACCGCGCGCGGUCGCCGCGGUGCUGGCCGCGGGCUGGUGGCCGGCAGGCGGUGGCAGCAGCCUCACCGAACAGCUGAAACCCUAGACGGUUUUUUAACUGCGCGGGGCUGCUCGCGGUGCCUAUUAAACAUCCUCCUGGCUGGGUGUCAUUUUCUUGCUUCUCCUUUUGUAUUCUGAUCUGCGCAUAGAUCUGCUGCUGCUGAAAUCUAGAACACCAGCGCGAAAACAGAUUUGAAGACAAUGAAUGCAAAUCUGUGCUCAAAGACCAUCUGCCGUGGAGGAGACAAUCAGCUGUUCGUAGUUCGAGCGAUUGCGCCCCAGUCUCCCGGUCUCAUUACGGGGAGGGCAUUUGCGAGCGCCUGGACUGCGUUCAGGGCACUUUCUCCCCUCUUGGGUCUCAGAUUUGAGAGACCAGAUCCCUUAGGUGUAGGUGAGCGCUCGCAAAUGAACUGCUAGAGUUUGCCGCUAGAGGACACAGCGCCUUGCAACUGGUUUGCCUAGGCUGACAGGAAGCUUGCACUUCAAGAAAACUCGGCUCUCUCGAGAAAGGGACCGGUGCGCGCCUCCACCUCCCCAAGGGACAAACCGCGGCACCACGCUGCGUGCGCGGGAUUGCGACUAGGAAGUGCUGGUUUUACGGAGAAUUUCGGUCCCAGCAAAAACUGAUCACCUGGAGUCUUCUACGGUCUCUCUUUAUAAAUCUCUCCGAACCUCAAGCAACUCCCCCCCACCCCCUUCGUCUGGGGUCUGCGCCCAGCGGGGCCAAAGCCUUGAGUUCCUUGGCAGAGAGUGUGGAACAGCCGUGAGCCCUUCAAGACAUGCCUAUGAGCCCGGUGAUUUUUUUUUCAAGGGGGCUUUGAUCAGCUGUACCUCCACGUUGCCCCGGAAAGGUGCGCAGGGCACCCGGAGAGGCCUCUGGUCAGCAGUGGGCCUGGGCCAAGCCCCAACAGUUUACCCCUCAGGCUCAGGUUGGCUGGGGUUAAAGGGCAAAGUCAGGGUCGAGGGCACCAGCUUUUCUCGGCGGUAACAGCUGCCACCCAAAUUAUGCCCCCUCAGGAAGCGAAUGAAUUGUUCCUUUCUCCCAGCUCCCUGCUGCCCGCCCCAAAACAGACGGGGCCGCGCUCGGCGGGCGCCCCUCCUCCCAGCCAACCCCCCGAGACGCGCUCAGGGGCCUCGGUGCCCCGCUGGGAGGCAAUUUGGGGGAGCCGUGGUCCCGAACUUUGACAGAGUGGGGCUUCCCCACUACUUGCCGGCUGCGCUAAGGGCGCCCCCCGCGGCAGUGCUGCUGGGAGCUCCAGGGAUGGCUGUGUGGCUCGCUGCGGGCGUUGAAGUUCCCUGUUGGCCAGGCUGAAGUGCCUGCGCGAGCGUGAGGGGACAAGGACUGCCUUGGGCCCAGCGUGGCGGCGUUUCGGCCAACCCAGUUGGGGUUAAUUGCGUCUGUAUAGGUUUUGGGUAGGAAUGCUCGCGGAGUCCGCCACCCGCGCGAAACAUGCGUUGGUUGGGGGAAUGAGCAGCGGCGGCUGCGCCUGGAGGGUUGCUCCCACCUCUGUCGCCUCCAGCUACCCCCAAACAAACCUCCUUUUCGAUCUCGUGCAACACAAAACCUGCCCCGAGCUGUGCGGGGGCCUGGCAAGCGCAGCUGCGGCCCCGGGAAGCCCAAUCCCGCGGGACUGCGGAGCCCACGCGCUCCUCAGGCUCCGGCCAACUAGCUCGGUUCUGCCUCUAGCCCGGGUCAAGAAAAAUCCAAAAUGAACACUAUGAUUAAAAUUAUUCACAAUCUAUUUAUACAAAACUGGGGGUGUCUGUCUUUUACCCUGUCCCCUUCUUCAUUUAC